UACGAAGGGGGGCUAGCGUUGUUCGGAAUUACUGGGCGUAAAGCGCACGUAGGCGGGUUGUUAAGUCAGGGGUGAAAUCCUGGAGCUCAACUCCAGAACUGCCUUUGAUACUGGCAACCUAGAGACUGGAAGAGGUUAGUGGAAUUCCCAGUGUAGAGGUGAAAUUCGUAGAUAUUGGGAAGAACACCAGUGGCGAAGGCGGCUAACUGGUCCAGCACUGACGCUGAGGUGCGAAAGCGUGGGGAGCAAACAGG
This 254-nucleotide ribosomal RNA is filed under the name uncultured bacterium. Its description in RNAcentral is "partial 16S ribosomal RNA". It matches the Rfam family "Bacterial small subunit ribosomal RNA", at positions 524 to 776 of the family's 1533-position model. The record is from RNAcentral.